This 200-nucleotide ribosomal RNA is filed under the name uncultured Glomus. Its description in RNAcentral is "partial small subunit ribosomal RNA". It matches the Rfam family "Eukaryotic small subunit ribosomal RNA", at positions 591 to 796 of the family's 1831-position model. The record is from RNAcentral. Lineage: Eukaryota; Fungi; Glomeromycota; Glomeromycetes; Glomerales; Glomeraceae.
CCAAUAGCGUAUAUUAAAGUUGUUGCAGUUAAAAAGCUCGUAGUUGAAUUUCGGGAUCAAUUAAUUGGUCGUGCCUCUGGUACGUACUGAUUUUAUUGGUUUCUCCCUUCUGACGAACCAUGAUGUCAUUAAUUUGAUGUCGUGGAGAAUCAGGACUGUUACUUUGAAAAAAUUAGAGUGUUUAAAGCAAGCUAACGCUU